Long non-coding RNA from Caretta caretta (loggerhead turtle), 2115 nucleotides. RefSeq lists it as uncharacterized. Lineage: Eukaryota; Metazoa; Chordata; Testudines; Cheloniidae. The record is from RefSeq and is a predicted model, not a curated record.
AACCCGGACCUGCAGAGAUUGCUAGGAUAAUGCAUUGCUUACGUAAUGUGACCCAGUGCUACUCCACUGAGACUUCAGAACUGCUGUAGGGAAUUUCAAGGCCUCUGUUAGACUCUAUUUGGAAUCUUUUUCUCCACCUUACAUCAAAAGGAAGCUGAAAGAGUUAAAGUGCUUUGCUAAAGGAAUUCUACUCACUAGGAGAAUCUGUCCUCAACAUACAGGAUUCUGAAGACUAUCCACCGUCAAGAUCAUCAUCAUUUUCUAUAGUUUCAGAGUUAUCUGCAAAUGGUGUUUCAGUCACAUCAUGUAUGUCACAUAGCCACAGUAUAUCACCUGCAGCAAAAACGGAAAAAAAAAAUCUCCAUCCAGAAACAACCAUAGAUAAAUUUGUGAUGAGAACCAGCAGAUUACAAAAAGAGGUAAUUGAUUAAAUAUUUGUGCGGUUUGUUUGUGCAAGAAACUCCUUUCCAUAUGAUUGAGAACUCACACUUCAUUAACAUGGUUCAGUCAUUAAGACCAGGAUACAGUCCACUCAACAGAGCAGAUGUUGCAGGCAAAUUUCUGGAUAAAGUGUAUGAAAGAGAAAUUGAGCAGUGUGCAAAAGGUCUAGAGGUGAAAUUUUUAACCUGAUUCUUGAUGGGUGGAGCAGUGUCCACAAUGAUCCUGUUGUGUGUGCUUGUGUGACAACAGAAGAAGGGAAUGUCUUCCUUGCAGAAACAAUUGAUCAGGAAAUGUGCACACACAGCAGAAUACUUACAAGAAGUAGCAGUAAAAGCUAUAACAAACUGUGGGGUGAAAAUUCAAAUGUCUAGUAUGCAGCUUGGUCACAGACAAUGCUGCAAAUGUAUCCAAGAUGAGAAGAAAUCAUUUAGAAGAGAGUGAAAAGAGUCCCAAGUUAAUAGCGUACAGUUGCAGUGCUCAUUUGAUGCUCUUCCUAGCCAAAGACUUCAGUGUUCCAGAAAUAAAGGCUAAUGUUGUUGAAAUUGCAAAACACUUUUGUAACAACCACUUUGCAGCAGCGGCUCUGAAAAAUGUGGGAGGAACCAAGCUAACUCUCCCACAAGACGUGUGAUGGAACUCGGUAGUGGACUGUUUUGAGCACUAUAUCAAGAACUGGCCUAAUCUGAUGAGAGUUUGUGAACAAAAUAGCAAAAAUAUAGAUGGCACUGUCACAGCCAAAGUUCUCAACAUGGGGCUUAAGAGAAAUGUUGAACACAUGCUGAGUACACUGACGGCUAUUUCUGUAGCCUUGAACAAAACGCAGGGAAAUAGCUGUUUUAUUGUUGGCGCUGUUGACAUUUGGAAGGAACUGAGUGAGAGCUUAAAAAGAGAAAUAUGCAAUGACAGAGUUAAAUUACAAGCAUUAAAAAACCCCGAAUUGGAUAAGCACCAUCUCCAGCUCAUUUUCUUGCAAAUAUUCUCAGUACUCAGUACCAGGGUCAAACCUUAACUGCUGAAGAAGAGGAGUUGGCUAUGACAUAGACAUCCAGCAAUCAUCGCUCCAUAAUGCCAACUAUAAUAAACUUCAAAGCUAAGGGUGAACUAUUCAAGAAAUAUAUGUUUGAUGAUGUUUUGAAGAAAGUCACACCAGUGAACUAGUGGAAGUCACUUAAGCACUUGGAUUCAGAGACUGUUGAAGUGAUAAUCUCACUUUUAACACCAGUAGCUUCUUCUGCCAGUGUAGAAAGAAUAUUUUCUUCCUUUGGACUAACUCAUUGCAAAUUGAGAAAUCCUUUGGGACCUGAAAAAGCAGGAAAGCUUGUUUUUCUUUUCCAGAUUGGGAACAAGCAGGAAAAUGAAGGUGAAAACGACUGAGUUAGCUGCAGAAACCAAUAUUUUAAGUUUCUCAUAUUGACCUAGCUGACAGUCUAUUUAAUUUUUUUUCAAAAAAUAUUUCAUUUAACUAUUUUAGUUAAAAAUAAUUUUAACAAAAACCUGAUUUUAAAAAACUUGAUUGUUUAACUAAAUUCAAAAAUUCAUAUGCUUGUUUUGUUAAAAUAUUAUGUUUGCUGUUGAAGAAAAAAAUCCAGAAUACAUAACGUUGUUGUUUUAGUUAAAUAAAACAAUUUAAAUGUCUGUCUGGUGAUGUUCUCCUCCUAAUACAGCAUGGCAAGA